CAACUUGAGAGUUUGAUUCUGGCUCAGAACGAACGCUGGCGGCAUGCCUAACACAUGCAAGUCGAACGAGACCUUCGGGUCUAGUGGCGCACGGGUGCGUAACGCGUGGGAAUCUGCCC
This 119-nucleotide ribosomal RNA is filed under the name Pseudomonadota bacterium. RNAcentral describes it as "partial 16S ribosomal RNA". It matches the Rfam family "Bacterial small subunit ribosomal RNA", at positions 1 to 131 of the family's 1533-position model. The record is from RNAcentral. Lineage: Bacteria; Pseudomonadati; Pseudomonadota.